RNAcentral lists this ribosomal RNA (291 nucleotides) under uncultured bacterium. RNAcentral describes it as "partial 16S ribosomal RNA". It matches the Rfam family "Bacterial small subunit ribosomal RNA", at positions 333 to 641 of the family's 1533-position model. The record is from RNAcentral.
AGUAUCCUACGGGAGGCAGCAGUGGGGGAUAUUGCACAAUAGGGGGAACCCUGAUGCAGCGACGCCACGUGGGUGAAGAAGCGCCUCGGCGCGUAAAGCCCUGUCAGCAGGGAAGAAAAUGACGGUACCUGAAGAAGAAGCCCCGGCUAACUACGUGCCAGCAGCCGCGGUAAUACGUAGGGGGCAAGCGUUAUCCGGAUUUACUGGGUGUAAAGGGGGCGCAGACGGCGAUGCAAGCCAGGAGUGAAAGCCCGGGGCCCAACCCCGGGACUGCUCUUGGCACUGCGUGGC